GACGAACGCUGGCGGCGUGCUUAACACAUGCAAGUCGAGCGGUAAGGCCCUUUCGGGGGUACACGAGCGGCGAACGGGUGAGUAACACGUGGGUGACCUGCCCUCAGCUCUGGGAUAAGCCUGGGAAACUGGGUCUAAUACUGGAUAUGACUCCACGGUGCAUGUCGUGGGGUGGAAAGCCUUGUGCGGCUGAGGAUGGGCCCGCGGCCUAUCAGCUUGUUGGUGGGGUGAGGCCUACCAAGGCGACGACGGGUAGCCGGCCUGAGAGGGCGACCGGCCACACUGGGACUGAGACACGGCCCAGACUCCUACGGGAGGCAGCAGUGGGGAAUCUUGCGCAAUGGGCGAAAACCUGACGCAGCGACGCCGCGUGAGGGAUGACGGCC
RNAcentral lists this ribosomal RNA (386 nucleotides) under uncultured bacterium. Its description in RNAcentral is "bacterial SSU rRNA". It matches the Rfam family "Bacterial small subunit ribosomal RNA", at positions 28 to 416 of the family's 1533-position model. The record is from RNAcentral.